GGCGAAGCUGAGAACUUAAGCGCCAGUAAACGGCGGUGGUAACUAUAACCAUCCUAAGGUAGCGAAAUUCCUUGUCGGGUAAGUUCCGACCUGCACGAAUGGCGUAACGACUUCUCGACUGUCUCAACCAUAGGCCCGGUGAAAUUGCAUUACGAGUAAAGAUGCUCGUUUCGCGCAGCAGGACGGAAAGACCCCGGGACCUUUACUAUAGCUUGAUAUUGGUGUUCGGUUCGGCUUGUGUAGGAUAGGUGGGAGACUUUGAAGCAGCAACGCCAGUUGUUGUGGAGUCGUCGUUGAAAUACCACUCUGGUCGUGCUGGAUGUCUAACCUGGGUCCGUGAUCCGGAUCAGGGACAGUGUCUGGUGGGUAGUUUAACUGGGGCGGUUGCCUCCUAAAGAGUAACGGAGGCGCCCAAAGGUUCCCUCAGCCUGGUUGGCAAUCAGGUGUUGAGUGUAAGUGCACAAGGGAGCUUGACUGUGAGACCGACGGGUCGAGCAGGGACGAAAGUCGGGACUAGUGAUCCGGCGGUGGCUUGUGGAAGCGCCGUCGCUCAACGGAUAAAAGGUACCCCGGGGAUAACAGGCUGAUCUUCCCCAAGAGUCCAUAUCGACGGGAUGGUUUGGCACCUCGAUGUCGGCUCGUCGCAUCCUGGGGCUGGAGUAGGUCCCAAGGGUUGGGCUGUUCGCCCAUUAAAGCGGUACGCGAGCUGGGUUUAGAACGUCGUGAGACAGUUCGGUCCCUAUCCGCUGUGCGCGUAGGAAUAUUGAGAAGGGCUGUCCCUAGUACGAGAGGACCGGGACGGACGAACCUCUGGUGUGCCAGUUGUUCUGCCAAGGGCAUGGCUGGUUGGCUACGUUCGGGAGGGAUAACCGCUGAAAGCAUCUAAGCGGGAAGCCUGCUUCGAGAUGAAUAUUCCCACCUCCUUGAGAGGGUAAGGCUCCCAGUAGACGACUGGGUUGAUAGGCCGGAUGUGGAAGCCCUGUAAGGGGUGGAGCUGACCGGUACUAAUAGGCCGAGGGCUUGUCCUC
Molecule: non-coding RNA, 1028 nt
Filed under: Kitasatospora sp. Root187
Lineage: Bacteria; Bacillati; Actinomycetota; Actinomycetes; Kitasatosporales; Streptomycetaceae
Description: Bacterial large subunit ribosomal RNA
Rfam family: Bacterial large subunit ribosomal RNA
Source: Rfam by way of RNAcentral